UACGGGGGGGGCAAGCGUUGUUCGGAAUUACUGGGCGUAAAGGGCUAGUAGGUGGCCAACUAAGUCAGACGUGAAAUCCCUCGGCUUAACCGGGGAACUGCAUCUGAUACUGGAUGGCUUGAGUUUGGGAGAGGGACGCGGAAUUCCAGGUGUAGCGGUGAAAUGCGUAGAUAUCUGGAGGAACACCGGUGGCGAAGGCGGCGUCCUGGACCAACACUGACACUGAAUAGCGAAAGCCAGGAGAGCAAACGGG
RNAcentral lists this ribosomal RNA (253 nucleotides) under uncultured bacterium. Its description in RNAcentral is "partial 16S ribosomal RNA". It matches the Rfam family "Bacterial small subunit ribosomal RNA", at positions 524 to 776 of the family's 1533-position model. The record is from RNAcentral.